UGCCAGACUCCUACGGGAGGCAGCAGUGGGGAAUAUUGGGCAAUGGGCGAAAGCCUGACCCAGCAACGCCGCGUGAAGGAAGAAGGCUUUCGGGUUGUAAACUUCUUUUGACAGGGAAGAGCAGAAGACGGUACCUGACUAAGAAGCCCCGGCUAACUACGUGCCAGCAGCCGCGGUAAUACGUAGGGGGCAAGCGUUAUCCGGAUUCACUGGGUGUAAAGGGAGCGUAGACGGCGACGCAAGUCUGGAGUGAAAGCCCGGGGCCCAACCCCGGGACUGCUCUGGAAACUGCGUCGCUGGAGUACGUGAGGGGCAGGCGGAAUUCCUGGUGUAGCGGUGAAAUGCGUAGAUAUCAGGAGGAACACCGGCGGCGAAGGCGGCCUGCUGGACCGUGACUGACGUUGAGGCUCGAGCGCGUGGGGAGCACCCAGGAUUAGAUACCCCCGUAA
RNAcentral lists this ribosomal RNA (449 nucleotides) under uncultured bacterium. Its description in RNAcentral is "bacterial SSU rRNA". It matches the Rfam family "Bacterial small subunit ribosomal RNA", at positions 329 to 793 of the family's 1533-position model. The record is from RNAcentral.